CUCACCCUCGAUGGUGCCCUCGACCUGUCCUCCCUCAGCAGCCUGUGGCAUCCAGACCAGUUCGUGGCCCCUAGGAGGGGAAACUGAGUCCCAGCCCCAGGGUCCUCCCUCGGCUUCACUGGGUGCCCCAUGGAGGAGACAGCCAGGGUGUGUCACCUGACAGGCUCACCAGAACCAGCACAGCUGCUGAGUUUUGGCUCCCGGACCCUGGAGCCCCUGCUGCCGAGGCUGGGGAUGGCGGCUCCAGAGGUCAUUCCUCCCCCGGAAGACACACGCUGGCCUUGGGCCAGGGGACCCUCAGCGACGGGGUCACCCCAAUGUUCUGGAGGCUGCGGUUCUGCUUCCUCCUGGGGCUGAGCUGAGCAAGCUCUAGCUCUCGGGCCGAGCGCAAGGAGGGCAGGAGUGAUGUCUCCAACUGUGCUGAGGUCUGCCCUGGGUGCAAGGGCCCUGUGUUUUCAGCGCUGCCGUGUGGCCCAUGGAUGCCCCAGGCCCCUGGACAGUUGAUGCCUGGGGUCCACACUCCUGGACAGGGCUCUGGACAGUUGAUGCCUGGGGUCCACACUCCUGGACAGGCCCCCGGACAGUUGAUUCCUGGGGUCCACACUCCUGGACAGGGCUCUGGUCAGUUGAUGCCUGGGGUCCACACUCCUGGACAGGGCUCUGGUCAGUUGAUGCCUGGGGUCCACACUCCUGGACAGGCCCCUGGACAGUUGAUGCCUGGGGUCCACACUCCUGGACAGGGCU
RNAcentral lists this long non-coding RNA (744 nucleotides) under Homo sapiens (human). RNAcentral describes it as "non-protein coding LINC00163:1". The record is from RNAcentral. Lineage: Eukaryota; Metazoa; Chordata; Mammalia; Primates; Hominidae.